UGGGGAAUAUUGCACAAUGGACGGAAGUCUGAUGCAGCAACGCCGCGUGCGGGAUGACGGCCUUCGGGUUGUAAACCGCUUUUUCUCAUGACGAAGUUUUUUGACGGUAGUGGGGGAAGAAGCACCGGCUAACCACGUGCCAGCAGCCGCGGUGAUACGUAGGGUGCGAGCGUUGUCCGGAAUUAUUGGGCGUAAAGAGCUUGUAGGCGGUUUGUCGCGUCGAUAGUGCAAACUCAGUGCUUAACGCUGAGCCUGCUGUUGAUACGGGCAGACUAGAGGAAGGUAGGGGAGAAUGGAAUUCCCGGUGGAGCGGUGGAAUGCGCAGAUAUCGGGAGGAACACCGGUGGCGAAGGCGGUUCUCUGGGCCUUUCCUGACGCUGAGAAGCGAAAGCGUGGGGAGCGAACAGG
Molecule: ribosomal RNA, 408 nt
Filed under: Fusobacteriota bacterium
Lineage: Bacteria; Fusobacteriati; Fusobacteriota
Description: Fusobacteria bacterium partial 16S ribosomal RNA
Rfam family: Bacterial small subunit ribosomal RNA
Source: RNAcentral